CGUGUAUUCCGGCAGUGAGUCGGCGGGGGAUAAGCUCCGUCGUCGAGAGGGAGACAGCCCAGACCGUCGUCUAAGGUCCCGAAGCGUGUGCUAAGUGGGAAAGGAUGUGGAGUCGCAUAGACAGCCAGGAGGUUGGCUCAGAAGCAGCCAUCCUUGAAAGAGUGCGUAACAGCUCACUGGUCUAGUGGUUCCGCGCCGACAAUGUAGCGGGGCUCAAGCACACCACCGAAGACGCGGCAGCAAUCUUCAUGGUUGCUGGGUAGGAGAGCGUCCUGCGAGGGGCGAAGCGGCCGGGUAACCGUGCCGUGGACUUCGUGGGAGUGAGAAUGCAGACAUGAGUAGCGAGAGACGGGUGAGGAUCCCGUCCGCUGGAUGACCAAGGGUUCCGGGGCCACGUUCGUCGUCCCCGGGUGAGUCGGGUCCUAAGGCGAGGCCGACAGGCGUAGUCGAAUGGAUGAACGGGUGGAUAUUCCCGUACCGACCAUGGACCGGCAAAACCGAGACGGUGAGUACUAACCUCCGCCUCGUGGUGGUUCCUUCCUUCGGGUUGGUGUCGCCGCGUGGUGUUGGGACUGUAGCCGUAGUAGGUCAGCGCAGGGGUGACACGGAAUGGGAGCCGGCCGCGGAGGUGGUUUUCCGUGGUCAAGCACGCAGCCAGUCAUGUAGGCAAAUCCGCAUGGCGCGCAUGGCGAGGUGUGAUGAUGGGAGCCGUUAUGGCUCGAUAUCCGGUUGUCCAGGCCGUCGAGAAAAGCCUCGGCGUGAGGGCCAUGGCCGCCCGUACCCCAAACCGACACUGGUGGUCAGGUAGAGAAUACCAAGGCGAUCGAGCGAAUCCUGGUCAAGGAACUCGGCAAAUCACUCCCGUGCCUUCGGUAUAAGGGAGACCCGCUGGGGUGAACCGGCUAGCCCGGGGAGCUUUGGUGGGUGGCACAGACCAGGGGGUAGCGACUGUUUACCAAAAACACAGGUGCAUGCGAAGGCGAAAGCCGCUGUAUAUGCACUGACGCCUGCCCGGUGCCGGAAGGUUAAGAGGAUCCGUCAACUCUUCGGAGCGAAGCGGUGAAUUCAAGCCCCGGUAAACGGCGGUGGUAACUAUAACCAUCCUAAGGUAGCGAAAUUCCUUGUCGGGUAAGUUCCGACCUGCACGAAUGGCGUAACGACUUCCCCACUGUCUCGACCAGGAGCUCGGCGAAAUUGCAGUACGAGUAAAGAUGCUCGUUAAGCGCAGAAGGACGAAAAGACCCCGGGACCUUUACUAUACCUUGGUAUUGGCGUUAGGCGCGGAUUGUGUAGCAUAGGCGGGAGGCUUCGAAGCGGGUGCGCCAGCAUUCGUGGAGCCGCAAGGUGAAAUACCGCUCUGUUCUCGUUUGACGUCUAACCUCGACAAGUCAUCCUUGUCAGGGACAGUGCCUGGCGGGUAGUUCAACUGGGGCGGUUGCCUCCCAAAGAGUAACGGAGGCGCUCAAAGGUCCGCUCAGCCCGGUUGGCAAUCGGGUGUCGAGUGUAAUCGCACAAGCGGGCUUGACUGCGAGGACGACGGUCCGAGCAGG
RNAcentral lists this ribosomal RNA (1550 nucleotides) under human gut metagenome. RNAcentral's name for it is "bacterial LSU rRNA". It matches the Rfam family "Bacterial large subunit ribosomal RNA", at positions 969 to 2397 of the family's 2925-position model. The record is from RNAcentral.